RNAcentral lists this ribosomal RNA (435 nucleotides) under uncultured Roseburia sp. RNAcentral describes it as "partial 16S ribosomal RNA". It matches the Rfam family "Bacterial small subunit ribosomal RNA", at positions 341 to 792 of the family's 1533-position model. Lineage: Bacteria; Bacillati; Bacillota; Clostridia; Lachnospirales; Lachnospiraceae. The record is from RNAcentral.
ACGGGAGGCAGCAGUGGGGAAUAUUGCACAAUGGGCGAAAGCCUGAUGCAGCGACGCCGCGUGAGUGAUGAAGUAUCUCGGUAUGUAAAACUCUAUCAGCAGGGAAGAAAAAUGACGGUACCUGACUAAGAAGCACCGGCUAAAUACGUGCCAGCAGCCGCGGUAAUACGUAUGGUGCAAGCGUUAUCCGGAUUUACUGGGUGUAAAGGGAGCGCAGGCGGAAGGCUAAGUCUGAUGUGAAAGCCCACGGCUCAACCGUGGUACUGCAUUGGAAACUGGUCAUCUAGAGUGUCGGAGGGGUAAGCGGAAUUCCUAGUGUAGCGGUGAAAUGCGUAGAUAUUAGGAGGAACACCAGUGGCGAAGGCGGCUUACUGGACGAUGACUGACGCUGAGGCUCGAAAGCGUGGGGAGCAAACAGGAUUAGAUACCCUGGUA